Molecule: long non-coding RNA, 1352 nt
Filed under: Homo sapiens (human)
Lineage: Eukaryota; Metazoa; Chordata; Mammalia; Primates; Hominidae
Description: HSALNT0327779
Source: RNAcentral
GUGGAAUAUAGGCUAGAAGGGUAUAUUGAAGCCAAAUUAAAGAAGGAUGUGAAGGUUAGGCUAAGAAGUGUGAUGAGCUUUAUUUAGGUAAUAGGCAAUGAGGAGAAAUUGAAACAUGAAGGAACAUAAUUUGAGGUGUGAUUAUUUGAGUUUUUAAAAUAUUAUCACUGUGCAUCAGAAUGGGUUAGGGAAGGCUUAAAUCCUGGAUGCUGGCUCAGCACCUAUUAGAGCAAUUAAAAUGAGAAAUGAUGCAGACUAAACUAGAAUUUCAGGUAAAAAUGGGAAAAAUAGGCGUUAAAAAAUGGUAUAAACGUUAAAAAACUACACUUGACUGAGUUAGAAUAUGGAGGAAAAGGAAGUAUGGAGAUCAAAAGAAAACAUCAGGAUUUGGGAGCUUGGACACAGGUUUUGCUUUUCCAUCUUUUAUGGAGUAUGAUUUACUUUCAAAUCGCCUCUGAAGAAACCUAUUAGUCAGUCAACUGCAGAAAAACUUCUCCAUAAUAUCUACCUGGAAUAUAUCUUGCUUCCAUUCACCUUCUUCCUUUGUCAAUGACUCUCAGGAGGAAUACAGUCUUUGUCAGUCAUAAAGGAAGGAAGAGUCAAUGACAUAGGAUCCCAAACACGGCUAAAAUGUCUCAUAUCUAAUGCUGUACUCCCCCUCUUAACCAAAAUUUGUGUCAGGAAAAGGCACAAAACUCCACCAAAGGAUUACGGUACCUUAAUCCAAGGAAGUUGUAUAGAGGCUAGUAUUUAAAAUUGUCAUUUUGAUAGGCCCCACUAGUGGAUUUUAUCCCCUGUUAGGUUGGACAAUCCUCAGUAUAUACACCUUACUACACAAAGAGGGGUUCUUGCUGUAUGGCUCACGCUGCUCUUGAACUGCUGGUCUCAAGCGAUCGUCCUGCCUAGGCCUUCCAAAGUGCUGAGAUUACAGGUGUGACCUAUCACACUGGGCCUCAGCUUCACUCUUGAAAUACAUUUUGCUGGUUAUUUGACUUCUAGUUGGCAGCCAUUUAGCUUCAGCACAUUAAAGAUAUUACAUUCUAUACUGGCUGUCAUUUUUUAAAAUUUUGAAUAUUUGGACAGAGAGAAUAAUGAAACACACUGAAGUUUCUUAAUUUCCACCCGGAAACCGCACUGCCAAAAUACGAACUAUUUUAGUGACUACACAAACACAGAUAUAAACUUUUACCCUCUACAAUAUUUAAAUCCCUUAAAGGGGUUGGUGAAUUUUUUCUAUAAAGGGACACAUAGUAAAUAUAUUCAGCUAUACAAGCCAUCUGGCCUCUGUUGCAACAACUCAACUUUGCUAUUGCAGUGCAAAAGGAGCCAUAGACAAAACUAAAUGAAUGGGC